This 916-nucleotide ribosomal RNA is filed under the name uncultured bacterium. RNAcentral describes it as "bacterial SSU rRNA". It matches the Rfam family "Bacterial small subunit ribosomal RNA", at positions 10 to 916 of the family's 1533-position model. The record is from RNAcentral.
AGUUUGAUCCUGGCUCAGGAUGAACGCUAGCUACAGGCUUAACACAUGCAAGUCGAGGGGAAACGAUAUUGGAAGCUUGCUUCCGAUAGGCGUCGACCGGCGCACGGGUGAGUAACGCGUAUCCAACCUGCCCAUCACUUGGGGAUAACCUUGCGAAAGUAAGACUAAUACCCAAUGAUAUUUAUAGAAGGCAUCCGAAAUGAAUUAAAGAUUUAUCGGUGAUGGAUGGGGAUGCGUCUGAUUAGCUUGUUGGCGGGGUAACGGCCCACCAAGGCGACGAUCAGUAGGGGUUCUGAGAGGAAGGUCCCCCACAUUGGAACUGAGACACGGUCCAAACUCCUACGGGAGGCAGCAGUGAGGAAUAUUGGUCAAUGGGCGAGAGCCUGAACCAGCCAAGUAGCGUGCAGGACGACGGCCCUAUGGGUUGUAAACUGCUUUUAUAAGGGAAUAAAGUGAGUCUCGUGAGACUUUUUGCAUGUACCUUAUGAAUAAGGACUGGCUAAUUCCGUGCCAGCAGCCGCGGUAAUACGGAAGGUCCGGGCGUUAUCCGGAUUUAUUGGGUUUAAAGGGAGCGUAGGCCGGAGAUUAAGCGUGUUGUGAAAUGUAGUGGCUCAACCUCUGCACUGCAGCGCGAACUGGUCUUCUUGAGUACGCACAACGUGGGCGGAAUUCGUGGUGUAGCGGUGAAAUGCUUAGAUAUCACGAAGAACUCCGAUUGCGAAGGCAGCUCACGGGAGCGCAACUGACGCUGAAGCUCGAAAGUGCGGGUAUCGAACAGGAUUAGAUACCCUGGUAGUCCGCACGGUAAACGAUGGAUGCCCGCUGUUGGCCUGAAUAGGUCAGCGGCCAAGCGAAAGCAUUAAGCAUCCCACCUGGGGAGUACGCCGGCAACGGUGAAACUCAAAGGAAUUGACGG